CAGUCGCCGCGGGAAUACGAAGGGUGCAAGCGUUAAUCGGAAUUACUGGGCGUAAAGCGUGCGUAGGCGGUUUGUUAAGUCUGCUGUGAAAUCCCCGGGCUCAACCUGGGAAUGGCAGUGGAUACUGGCAAGCUAGAGUGUGUCAGAGGAUGGUGGAAUUCCCGGUGUAGCGGUGAAAUGCGUAGAGAUCGGGAGGAACAUCAGUGGCGAAGGCGGCCAUCUGGGACAACACUGACGCUGAGGCACGAAAGCGUGGGGAGCAAACAGGAUUAGAUACCCCUGUAGUCCCUGUCUCUUAUAA
Molecule: ribosomal RNA, 301 nt
Filed under: uncultured bacterium
Lineage: Bacteria
Description: partial 16S ribosomal RNA
Rfam family: Bacterial small subunit ribosomal RNA
Source: RNAcentral